AUACGGAGGGAGCGAGCGUUAAUAGGAAUUACUGGGCGUAAAGCGUGCGUAGGCGGUUUGCUAAGUCAGAUGGGAAAGCCCCGGGCUUAACCUGGGAACUGCAUUUGAUACUGGCAGACUAGAGUAUGAUAGAGGGGGGUAGAAUUCCUGGUGUAGCGGUGAAAUGCGUAGAUAUCAGGAGGAAUACCAGUGGCGAAGGCGGCCCCCUGGAUCAAUACUGACGCUGAGGUACGAAAGCGUGGGGAGCGAACAGGAUUAGAUACCCUAGUAGUCC
Molecule: ribosomal RNA, 274 nt
Filed under: uncultured bacterium
Lineage: Bacteria
Description: partial 16S ribosomal RNA
Rfam family: Bacterial small subunit ribosomal RNA
Source: RNAcentral